CUUUAGGCAAGGAAUCCGGAACGUCAAGUGGACACGCCGGAGGUGAUACCCGCGGAAAAGGUGUGCUUUGAAGGUAUGAAUGAGGUCCUCCCGGAUGGCGAUCAAGUACAUGUCAAGAACCGAACACAUAUUUCGAAGCUUCCGCACUAAACUUAAUUUUGUCUAAACUUUAAACAUGAUGUAAUUUCUUUUGUUGAUCGUGUUUUUAAAUCCCUCAAACUAGUGAUUAGUUUA
Helianthus annuus (common sunflower) is the source of this 234-nucleotide long non-coding RNA. RefSeq lists it as uncharacterized. Lineage: Eukaryota; Viridiplantae; Streptophyta; Magnoliopsida; Asterales; Asteraceae. The transcript is spliced from 2 exons. The record is from RefSeq and is a predicted model, not a curated record.